AACGGUUCAGUACAAUACCAAAACACAAUGUAUCAAGUCGAGAUGUACCAGAGAUAAAAGGUCAGGAGAAGUGUAUGAGAGAAAGUGAGAAUCCCUAACCCUAGGAGGGAGAACUACGGAAGAAAGAGAAGACAAAGGGGAGAAAGAGGGAGAGGUAGAGGAGGAAGACGAGAGGGGGAGAGUGGGGGGCCGUACCAAGGGAGAGGCAUCGACGUCAACAUCGAUCAAGGGGGCGACGACAACGGCAUCAGGAAAAGAGGAAGAGCCUCGCAGGGAGAGGGAGAGAGAGAGAUCAGGAAGAGAAGCUUCGAGAAGCCGUUCACCCGCUUUAUAUAUUAAAAAAGGGGGGAUCGAACCGAAGGGCCAAACAGUGCCGGUUACGGACUAGUCCGGUUCCGUGUGCCCCGAAUCGUCCAGUUCGGCGAACCUUGGGUUCAAGUAAGUCAUCAUACAAAUAAGCAUUAAACAACUUUUUAUGGAUGUGUUAUCUAAGGUUAUAAACCUACAAUUCAUGAUACAAGGUUUGUUGGCCUAACCCCAGAAAAGGUUAAUUAUAUUAGGCUGACCAUAUUCUAAAAAAUUUGUUAAAUCCUAGAAGCCUUCUUUCAAAUUUUGUUCAUAAUUUUACUAAUCUUGAUGGGAUAAGACAUGGUGGCAGUGGAGGAGGGUUAACAGCAGGUCAACCUCUAGGCUUGGUUUUUUCUCACUUCAGGUA
This 715-nucleotide long non-coding RNA is filed under the name Phoenix dactylifera (date palm). RNAcentral describes it as "long non-coding RNA (PDAC_LNC018231)". Lineage: Eukaryota; Viridiplantae; Streptophyta; Magnoliopsida; Arecales; Arecaceae. The record is from RNAcentral.